RNAcentral lists this ribosomal RNA (497 nucleotides) under uncultured bacterium. RNAcentral describes it as "partial 16S ribosomal RNA". It matches the Rfam family "Bacterial small subunit ribosomal RNA", at positions 28 to 507 of the family's 1533-position model. The record is from RNAcentral.
GAUGAACGCUGGUGGCGUGCCUAAUACAUGCAAGUCGAGCGAACAGAUAAGGAGCUUGCUCCUUUGACGUUAGCGGCGGACGGGUGAGUAACACGUGGGUAACCUACCUAUAAGACUGCAAUAACUCCGGGAAACCGGGGCUAAUGCAGGAUAACAUGUUGAACCGCAUGGUUCUACAGUGAAAGGCGGCUUUGCUGUCACUUAUAGAUGGACCCGCGCCGUAUUAGCUAGUUGGUGAGGUAACGGCUCACCAAGGCAACGAUACGUAGCCGACCUGAGAGGGUGAUCGGCCACACUGGAACUGAGACACGGUCCAGACUCCUACGGGAGGCAGCAGUAGGGAAUCUUGCGCAAUGGGCGAAAGCCUGACGGAGCAACGCCGCGUGAGUGAUGAAGGUCUUCGGAUCGUAAAACUCUGUUAUUAGGGAAGAACAAAUGCGUAAGUAACUGUGCGCGUCUUGACGGUACCUAAUCAGAAAGCCACGGCUAACUACGUG